UCCUGGUGGCGAGUGGCGAACGGGUGAGUAAUAUAUCGGAACGUGCCCAGUCGUGGGGGAUAACGCAGCGAAAGCUGUGCUAAUACCGCAUACGAUCUCUGGAUGAAAGCGGGGGACUCGCAAGAGCCUCGCGCGAUUGGAGCGGCCGAUAUCAGAUUAGCUAGUUGGUGGGGUAAAAGCCCACCAAGGCGACGAUCUGUAGCUGGUCUGAGAGGACGACCAGCCACACUGGAACUGAGACACGGUCCAGACUCCUACGGGAGGCAGCAGUGGGGAAUUUUGGACAAUGGGCGCAAGCCUGAUCCAGCAAUGCCGCGUGCAGGAUGAAGGCCUUCGGGUUGUAAACUGCUUUUGUACGGAACGAAACGGUCCCUUCUAAUACAAGGGGCUAAUGACGGUACCGUAAGAAUAAGCACCGGCUAACUACGUGCCAGCAGCCGCGGUAAUACGUAGGGUGCGAGCGUUAAUCGGAAUUACUGGGCGUAAAGCGUGCGCGGGCGGUUAUAUAAGACAGAUGUGAAAUCCCCGGGCUCAACCUGGGACCUGCAUUUGUGACUGUAUAGCUAGAGUACGGUAGAGGGGGAUGGAAUUCCGCGUGUAGCAGUGAAAUGCGUAGAUAUGCGGAGGAACACCGGUGGCGAAG
RNAcentral lists this ribosomal RNA (643 nucleotides) under uncultured bacterium. RNAcentral's name for it is "bacterial SSU rRNA". It matches the Rfam family "Bacterial small subunit ribosomal RNA", at positions 83 to 720 of the family's 1533-position model. The record is from RNAcentral.